GCCAUUUUCGAGUGGACUCGGAGUGUUGAGAAAAAAAACUGUGGAUCCUCGAAUUUUACUGUGGAUUUUACUGGUUUUCUGGAGUGCUCUCCCACUGAAGCAGUGAUCUGAUUGAGUCCAGAGCUGAUGUGCCUGUGUUCAGAGGUGAGUUGGGAAGGUAAGCUCAUGUCCCACCUGCUCCAAAAUACCUGCAGCAUCUGCAUCCCUCUGGGUAAAUGCAGGUCCCUCUGACACACAUAUCCCUUCCUGACUACUGCAGGUAGUACCUUGGACACAUUCAGGUGAACUCAAAUUACCCUGUUCAGCUGCCAAUUUCUGAUUUGAGUUUCCAAAGCACAAACUAAAGAAGCCAGACUGGCAGAUGGGAUAAUUCAAACAUGGAACUUUUUAUUGUGUAAAAUAUUGAUGCUGUCAUGUCAUAAACAUGCAUAUUUUCUCAGAUACGUAUUUCCCUGCCUGUCCCAAAUUUCCAGUUGCCCAAUACUUGGUGUGACUGUUGAUUUUCCCUCUGUGCUAGAGGCUGGUGGAGGUGUAUUGAGCCCUUGCUUUGAAAAGUCCUCUUUACUGAAGAGAGCUCUUGCCCUUUUUGUUGAACUAAGCAAAAGUCUGGUUUAUAUAAAUAUAAAAACAUUAAUUAAAAUGUGAACCUCAAACACCAUCAAAAUGGAUUCUAAAGCAGAACCUGUUUGCUGUUGCUUUUUUCUUUUGGAUUCAUUUGAAGAGAUGAAAGAAAUAAGAUUGCACAGGUACAGUCAAGUAAAACUUUGUUACAGAAGUAAUUAAUGGUAAUAAUAUGUGGGGGGUGUGAUUUAGCUCAGCACUGGGUACAUGUUUGCUUUGCAGCAAGUAGCAGCUGCUCAUUAGGGAGUUGGCCCUGGUGCUGUCAGUGUUGAGGACACUGAAGUGGUGAAAAUAUACUGCUUUUUUGUUGGCAAAUAUUUGAUUUCAAAUUUGGAAUCGCUUGGCACGGGUCACAAGAGCUUUUGAAAUUCCUAUUUUUCAGUUUGCUCAAGAGGCAGGGACUCGGUGGCACAUUGGGCAUGAGGGGAUGGCACAAGAAUUCAAACCCAAGGCCUCAUUUCUGACAUUGUUCAGGUUUUUUUUGUGAUGCUGCUUUUUAAGAAAAUGAAUUGAAGGAAGUUGUCACAUAACUGGGGGGAGGGGGAGGGUAGGUUGAAAGGAAAUACAAAAAAUAUCAGUCUGUUUGCACUGUGCAGCCCAGGCAGGCUGGUGUGUCAGAGCCACUGGCAGCUGCCUUCUGCAGGGCUGCAGCCCCUCCCUGCCCUGGUACAGCCAGGGAAUGUGGUGAACUUCCAGACAUCUUCAAUUUCUGGUCAUAUAAGGUUUGUCCAUUCACAUUGUAAAUAAGCAUCAUUUAAAAUUUUUUAAAAUAAGGAUUUUUUUCACAUAUCUCAAAAGUGAAAUUGAGCUGAAUGAAAGUAUUUUAAGGAGAAUUUAAUAGGUUUCAAUUGUUGAAAUCUGAAUUUAUUUAUCUGAAAUGUUAACAUUAUGACUUCUGGAAAAUCCUUGAUAGUCAGUGUCCCCUAAGAAAAGUACAAGGUAAUAUUUCCCCACAAACCAGUUGAAAGGGUUGGGAAGUUCUUCACUCUACGGUAGCAAAGGCAACAGAUCUACUGGAUCUGAAAUAUGUUAUUUUUUGGGACCCAAUACUAAAUGUGGUUUGGGGCGGGGGGAGCAGUUAAUUUCUGACCUUGUUUCUGAAACUGGUUUGUUUGCACUGUAUAACUGCUUGUUCUCUUAUAGUUACAGACUGACUGAUAGCCCCUGUGAAGAAAAUAACCCCUGUCCUGUGGUGGUAAUGCAUGCAUGUUAAAUGUCUUCAUUGUAGAGUGUUCUUCACUUCUUUAUAUCAUAGUUUUUUUAAAAAAUUACAUACAUAUAUAUAUUCAAAAUACCAUUUGGAAUGUCAACAUUCAGUGGGCUUUGAGGAGAUGUAGCAGCACAUCAUGGUUUGUAGGGACAAGGAGAUACAGACCAUUCUGGGCUGCCUCAUUACCUCAAGGAUAAGACAAGAAAGUGAGCUUCUGGUUAUCAUAGAUGUGGAAGCUAACACAUUGCCAUGUAUCUCAUUAGCUCAGGUAUGUGUAGACACGUUCUCUUGGUGCUUGUACUGUGCACAUCCUUUGCAGCUACAAAUCCAUCCCCUGUGAGCUCGUGUGUCUGGCCCUGCAGCCAGGAAGGACUAGUAGCUCCUUUUUGUUCUCCAACAUGGCCAUGACCACAUCCUAUUCCAUAUCUACCCCUCAGCCAUUGCUCCUUUCCCUGGCAAAGGAUGGGGCAGGGGCCCCUUGCCUGUGUUUGGGGCAGGGAGGGUCUGGAGGCCGUGCAGAGCUGUCAGCAGUGCUCUAGCAGCACGUAAAUACUGGAGUUUGGGAUUGCCUGUUGCUCUCCAGUAUUGCAUUGCUGCUUUAGUGAGGCUGGAAAUCAGUCCCUGCUGCAGGAGGGGCUCUGGCUCUGGGGGUCCCUGUGUGGCACCCCCACAGUGCUGGGGGCUCCUGGCUCCCCCCCAAUAAACCACUGCGGAGGCAGCAACCCACGAGGGCCGGUGUCGUCAAUGGGGCAGGGCAGGCUGCACCCCAGCACUGCUGCUGGGUGCCCCAGCCAGGGGUGGAGGGGCAGGGGGCACUGCCUGGGGGCAGGAGAUGGUGAUGAGCCCUUCCUGGGUUCUGGGGGAGGGAGCACCUGGGGCAGUGCUGGCCCCUGGGUGCACUCAGAACCUGGGGAGGGGGUGUGGGGGACAGUGGGGGUGCAAGGGCUGGGGGGGACCAGAGCUUCAAUGGCUGAGAGGGAGGGACACCCACUGUGCCUGGGGAAGCCUUGCUGCAGGAGGAUCAUCUUUCCCCAAAUUGCUUCAGGAUACCCCAGCUCAGGCACAGCUGGUGGGGGCUGCCAGUGGCAGCAGCAUCUGGCACCACUUGGGCUGGGGUGGAGAGUUUGGGCCACCUGAGGAAGUGCCUGCAGCUCCACCACUGCAGCAAUGAGCUCCUCCAGUGCCCCACAGUGAAAGGCUUUUCCUUAGCAUUACACCUCUUCAAGCUUCCAAACCCAGCUGGAAUAGGAGUCAGGGAUGCUCCUGGGAGGGGCUGGGGUGGUGCCUGCCUGGUCAAGAUUCAUCUGCUGUGGUGUGAAUGAGCUUGUGGGUCCUGCCAGUGAUGCUGCAUUGUUAACAGCCCCACUCCAGGUGGUUGUGAAUUCCAGAACAUUUGUUUUUUCAGCUAUAUUCAGGAAUUAGUAAAUGACAGUAAUUAGUAAAUUAGUUGUAGGGCAGGGGAAAAUGCUUUUGCUGAUUUGCAGCUUCAAUCCCCACUCCUGCUCUGUGCAGGGAGUGUUGGCACAAAGCACCCCUGGAGCACAAAUGUCUCUGGCGUGGGGAGGUGCAAGGGGGAUGAGUGGGGAGGAGCAGCUUUUAAAAGCCUCUGCCCUCAGAGGGGCAAACUCACAAUGUUUGGGCACACAGCUGAUGCAUUCUAAACCAGACACUGGUAUUCCACUUGUGUCUAAAAUGGUUCAUUCCCACUCUCAACAAGUCAAGCCAUUAAUAGCCAUGUGCCAUACUGCUUUCCCUCAGGAAAAGGGCUUGAGUGACCUGGUUAACAGGGAAAUCGAUCAAUAAAGUUGGUAAUUGUCUGCA
This is a long non-coding RNA of Oenanthe melanoleuca, 3652 nucleotides long. RefSeq lists it as uncharacterized. The record is from RefSeq and is a predicted model, not a curated record. Lineage: Eukaryota; Metazoa; Chordata; Aves; Passeriformes; Muscicapidae. The transcript has 3 exons.